RNAcentral lists this antisense RNA (69 nucleotides) under Streptomyces sp. 150FB. Its description in RNAcentral is "ASpks TB sRNA". It matches the Rfam family "ASpks TB sRNA". The record is from Rfam by way of RNAcentral. Lineage: Bacteria; Bacillati; Actinomycetota; Actinomycetes; Kitasatosporales; Streptomycetaceae.
UUUCAACGACCCCAGCCACAAGGGCCGUUCGCGCCCCUGCCCGUAUGUCGCCAGCAACGCACGUGCCUC